Molecule: transfer RNA, 92 nt
Filed under: Microbispora siamensis
Lineage: Bacteria; Bacillati; Actinomycetota; Actinomycetes; Streptosporangiales; Streptosporangiaceae
Description: tRNA-Gly
Source: RNAcentral
CCAAGGUGGGCUGACCGGCACGGCCCGGCCGCGUCCUCCGGCCGAGGUCAGCUCGUGCCCGGGAUGGUGACGUUCUGCUCCUUGAACUUGUA